RNAcentral lists this ribosomal RNA (232 nucleotides) under uncultured bacterium. RNAcentral describes it as "partial 16S ribosomal RNA". It matches the Rfam family "Bacterial small subunit ribosomal RNA", at positions 104 to 334 of the family's 1533-position model. The record is from RNAcentral.
CGGGGUGAGUAACGCGUGGGUAACCUGCCUUGUACAGGGGGAUAACAGUUGGAAACGGCUGCUAAUACCGCAUAAGCGCACGGCAUCGCAUGAUGCAGUGCGAAAAACUCCGGUGGUAUAAGAUGGACCCGCGUUGGAUUAGCUAGUUGGUGAGGUAACGGCCCACCAAGGCGACGAUCCAUAGCCGACCUGAGAGGGUGACCGGCCACAUUGGGACUGAGACACGGCCCAA